Small nuclear RNA from Chionomys nivalis (European snow vole), 105 nucleotides. The record is from RefSeq and is a predicted model, not a curated record. NCBI's taxonomy places the organism in Eukaryota, Metazoa, Chordata, Mammalia, Rodentia, Cricetidae.
GUGCUUGCUUCAGCAGCACACGUACUAAAACUGGAAUGAUUCAGGAAGAUUAACAUGCCUCUGCACAAGGAUGCCAUGCAAGCUCGUGGCACGGAGCCUUCCGUG